ACCUACGCCUUAAGUUGAAUUUCAAAGUUAACCGCGCAGCGUUGCCAACACACAUUUUGACGCGUUGCCAACUAUGAAGCGUGGCGAAACUUGACUUUUGUUUGACACAAUAAAAGAUUGCAUAAUAGAGACGAAGAGAAAAAGACUGAGAAUGGUGUGAAAUUAUGCUGAAUGCUCGCAAUUUCACGCAUUGAAAUCCCAUUUGCGUCGACAGCUUAUUAUGUUAGUCGUGUCGUCCCGCUCUAACGCACACCACCUACGCCUUAAGUUGAAUUUCAAAGUUAACCGCGCAGCGUUGCCAACACACAUUUUGACGCGUUGCCAACUAUGAAGCGUGGCGAAACUUGACUUUUGUUUGACACAAUAAAAGAUUGCAUAAUAGAGACGAAGAGAAAAGGACUGAGAAUGGUGUGAAAUUAUGCUAAAUGAAGUGUUAAUUCGACAGUCAAAUUCGACUGGAAAGAACGAGGGUUGCCUCAGCACUUCAGAGUUUGUCAAAGAAUCCAUUUACUACUCAAUCAAAGCGAUUGUUAUUAUGCUGCAAUUACCGUUUAUGAGUGUU
Drosophila albomicans is the source of this 562-nucleotide long non-coding RNA. RefSeq lists it as uncharacterized. NCBI's taxonomy places the organism in Eukaryota, Metazoa, Arthropoda, Insecta, Diptera, Drosophilidae. The transcript has 3 exons. The record is from RefSeq and is a predicted model, not a curated record.